This 638-nucleotide ribosomal RNA is filed under the name Thaxterogaster herpeticus. Its description in RNAcentral is "eukaryotic LSU rRNA". It matches the Rfam family "Eukaryotic large subunit ribosomal RNA", at positions 1 to 618 of the family's 3401-position model. Lineage: Eukaryota; Fungi; Basidiomycota; Agaricomycetes; Agaricales; Cortinariaceae. The record is from RNAcentral.
UGACCUCAAAUCAGGUAGGACUACCCGCUGAACUUAAGCAUAUCAAUAAGCGGAGGAAAAGAAACUAACAAGGAUUCCCCUAGUAACUGCGAGUGAAGCGGGAAAAGCUCAAAUUUAAAAUCUGGCAGUCUUUGGCUGUCCGAGUUGUAAUCUAGAGAAGUGUUAUCCGCGCUGGACCGUGUACAAGUCUCCUGGAAUGGAGCGUCAUAGAGGGUGAGAAUCCCGUCUUUGACACGGACUGCCAGGGCUUUGUGAUGCGCUCUCAAAGAGUCGAGUUGUUUGGGAAUGCAGCUCAAAAUGGGUGGUAAAUUCCAUCUAAAGCUAAAUAUUGGCGAGAGACCGAUAGCGAACAAGUACCGUGAGGGAAAGAUGAAAAGAACUUUGGAAAGAGAGUUAAACAGUACGUGAAAUUGCUGAAAGGGAAACGCUUGAAGUCAGUCGCGUUGGUCAGGGAUCAACCUUGCUUUUGCUGGGUGUACUUCCUGGUUGACGGGUCAGCAUCAAUUUUGAUCAUUGGAAAAAGAUCAGGGGAAUGUGGCAUCCUUGGAUGUGUUAUAGCCCUUGGUUGUAUACAAUGGUUGGGAUUGAGGAGCUCAGCACGCCGCAAGGCCGGGUUUUUACCACGUACGUGCUUAGGA